GAUCAUGGCUCAGGAUGAACGCUAGCUACAGGCUUAACACAUGCAAGUCGGAGGGGAAACGACAUUGGAAGCUUGCUUCCGAUGGGCGUCGACCGGCGCACGGGUGAGUAACGCGUAUCCAACCUGCCCACCACUUGGGGAUAACCUUGCGAAAGUAAGACUAAUACCCAAUGACGUCCAUAGAAGACAUCUGAAGUGGAUUAAAGAUUUAUCGGUGAUGGAUGGGGAUGCGUCUGAUUAGCUUGUUGGCGGGGUAACGGCCCACCAAGGCUACGAUCAGUAGGGGUUCUGAGAGGAAGGUCCCCCACAUUGGAACUGAGACACGGUCCAAACUCCUACGGGAGGCAGCAGUGAGGAAUAUUGGUCAAUGGGCGAGAGCCUGAACCAGCCAAGUAGCGUGCAGGAUGACGGCCCUAUGGGUUGUAAACUGCUUUUAUAAGGGAAUAAAGUGGAGGUCGUGACCUCUUUUGCAUGUACCUUAUGAAUAAGGACCGGCUAAUUCCGUG
RNAcentral lists this ribosomal RNA (506 nucleotides) under uncultured bacterium. Its description in RNAcentral is "bacterial SSU rRNA". It matches the Rfam family "Bacterial small subunit ribosomal RNA", at positions 15 to 507 of the family's 1533-position model. The record is from RNAcentral.